RNAcentral lists this ribosomal RNA (389 nucleotides) under uncultured bacterium. Its description in RNAcentral is "bacterial SSU rRNA". It matches the Rfam family "Bacterial small subunit ribosomal RNA", at positions 28 to 416 of the family's 1533-position model. The record is from RNAcentral.
GACGAACGCUGGCGGCGUGCUUAACACAUGCAAGUCGAGCGGUAAGGCCCUUUCGGGGGUACGACGAGCGGCGAACGGGUGAGUAACACGUGGGUGACCUGCCCUUAGCUCUGGGAUAAGCCUGGGAAACUGGGUCUAAUACCGGAUAUGACUCCAUGACGCAUGUUGUGGGGUGGAAAGCCUUGUGCGGCUAGGGAUGGGCCCGCGGCCUAUCAGCUUGUUGGUGGGGUGAUGGCCUACCAAGGCGACGACGGGUAGCCGGCCUGAGAGGGCGACCGGCCACACUGGGACGUGAGACACGGCCCAGACUCCUACGGGAGGCAGCAGUGGGGAAUCUUGCGCAAUGGGCGAAAGCCUGACGCAGCGACGCCGCGUGAGGGAUGACGGCC